This 492-nucleotide ribosomal RNA is filed under the name uncultured bacterium. Its description in RNAcentral is "partial 16S ribosomal RNA". It matches the Rfam family "Bacterial small subunit ribosomal RNA", at positions 29 to 507 of the family's 1533-position model. The record is from RNAcentral.
AGUGAACGCUGGCGGUAGGCCUAACACAUGCGAGUCGAACGGCAGCACAGUAAGAGCUUGCUCUUACGGGUGGCGAGUGGCGGACGGGUGAGGAAUACAUCGGAAUCUACUUUUUCGUGGGGGAUAACGUAGGGAAACUUACGCUAAUACCGCAUACGACCUACGGGUGAAAGCAGGGGAUCUUCGGACCUUGCGCGAUUGAAUGAGCCGAUGUCGGAUUAGCUAGUUGGCGGGGUAAAGGCCCACCAAGGCGACGAUCCGUAGCUGGUCUGAGAGGAUGAUCAGCCACACUGGAACUGAGACACGGUCCAGACUCCUACGGGAGGCAGCAGUGGGGAAUAUUGGACAAUGGGCGCAAGCCUGAUCCAGCCAUACCGCGUGGGUGAAGAAGGCCUUCGGGUUGUAAAGCCCUUUUGUUGGGAAAGGAAAGCAGCAGGUUAAUACCCCGCUGUUCUGACGGUACCCAAAGAAUAAGCACCGGCUAACUUCGUG